This 77-nucleotide transfer RNA is filed under the name Saccharimonas sp. (SeqCode). RNAcentral's name for it is "tRNA-Phe". It matches the Rfam family "tRNA". Rfam says of the family: Transfer RNA (tRNA) molecules are approximately 80 nucleotides in length. Their secondary structure includes four short double-helical elements and three loops (D, anti-codon, and T loops). Lineage: Bacteria; Candidatus Saccharimonadota; Candidatus Saccharimonadia; Saccharimonadales (SeqCode); Saccharimonadaceae (SeqCode). The record is from RNAcentral. RNAcentral also lists the same sequence under 5 other names.
GGCGCUAUAGCUCAGCCCGGUAGAGCAGAGGCCUGAAGAGCCUUGUGUCCCUAGUUCAAAUCUAGGUGGCGCCACCA